UCCGUGUUAACCACGGCAGUCCCUCUAGAGUGCCCAACUUAAUGAUGGCAACUAACAGCGAGGGUUGCGCUCGUUGCGGGACUUAACCCAACAUCUCACGACACGAGCUGACGACAGCCAUGCAGCACCUUGCUUUGGGUCUUUGCAGACUGACCCAUUUCUGAGUCAUUCCCUCGCAUUCUAGCCCAGGUAAGGUUCCUCGCGUAUCAUCGAAUUAAACCACAUGCUCCGCCGCUUGUGCGGACCCCCGUCAAUUCCUUUGAGUUUCACCCUUGCGGGCGUACUCCCCAGGUGGAUUACUUAUCGGUUUCCCUUGGACGCUAACAGUGUAUCGCUAACAUCGAGUAAUCAUCGUUUACAGCGUGGACUAC
RNAcentral lists this unclassified non-coding RNA (371 nucleotides) under uncultured Cytophagales bacterium. Its description in RNAcentral is "contains 16S-23S intergenic spacer region". Lineage: Bacteria; Pseudomonadati; Bacteroidota; Sphingobacteriia; Sphingobacteriales. The record is from RNAcentral.